Molecule: ribosomal RNA, 469 nt
Filed under: uncultured Alphaproteobacteria bacterium
Lineage: Bacteria; Pseudomonadati; Pseudomonadota; Alphaproteobacteria
Description: bacterial SSU rRNA
Rfam family: Bacterial small subunit ribosomal RNA
Source: RNAcentral
UAGAGUUUGAUCAUGGCUCAGAGCGAACGCUGGCGGCAGGCUUAACACAUGCAAGUCGAGCGGGCCCUUCGGGGUCAGCGGCAGACGGGUGAGUAACGCGUGGGAACGUGCCCUUUGGUUCGGAAUAUUCCCGGGAAACUGGGAGCAAAACCGGAUAAGCCCUUCGGGGGAAAGUUUACGCCAAAGGAUCGGCCCGCGUUAGAUUAGGUAGUUGGUGGGGUAACGGCCUACCAAGCCUGCGAUCGGUAGCUGGUCUGAGAGGACGAUCAGCCACACUGGGACUGAGACACGGCCCAGACUCCUACGGGAGGCAGCAGUGGGGAAUAUUGGGCAAUGGGCGCAAGCCUGACCCAGCAAUGCCGCGUGGGUGAAGAAGGUCUUCGGAUUGUAAAGCCCUUUCGGCGGGGACGAUGAUGACGGUACCCGCAGAAGAAGCCCCGGCUAACUUCGUGCCAGCAGCCGCGGUAAU